AACGAACGCUGGCGGCAUGCCUAACACAUGCAAGUCGAACGAGACCUUCGGGUCUAGUUGCGCACGGGUGCGUACCGCGUGGGAACCUGCCCUUAGGUUCGGAAUAACUCCCCGAAAGGGGUGCUAAUACCGGAUAAUGUCUUCGGACCAAAGAUUUAUCGCCUUUGGAUGUGCCCGCGUUGGAUUAGCUAGUUGGUAGGGUAAAAGCCUACCAGGGCGACGAUCCAUAGCUGGUCUGAGAGGAUGAUCAGCCACACUGGGACUGAGACACGGCCCAGACUCCUACGGGAGGCAGCAGUGGGGAAUAUUGGACAAUGGGCGAAAGCCUGAUCCAGCAAUGCCGCGUGAGUGAUGAAGGCCUUAGGGUUGUAAAGCUCUUUUAACCGGGAUGAUAAUGACAGUACCGGGAGAAUAAGCGCCGGCUAACUCCGUG
RNAcentral lists this ribosomal RNA (433 nucleotides) under uncultured bacterium. RNAcentral describes it as "partial 16S ribosomal RNA". It matches the Rfam family "Bacterial small subunit ribosomal RNA", at positions 29 to 507 of the family's 1533-position model. The record is from RNAcentral.